CAUGCAAGUCGAACGAAGUAGCAAUACUUAGUGGCAGACGGGUGAGUAACAUGUAGGUAUCUUCCCUUUGGCCUGGAAUAACACGAGGAAACUUGUGCUAAUACUGGAUAAGUCUUUACGGAGAAAGCUUUAUGCACCAUUGGAUGAGCCUGCACUUGAUUAGUUUGUUGGUGGGGUAAUGGCCUACCAAGACUUUGAUCAAUAGCUGAUUUGAGAGGAUGAUCAGCCACAUUGGGACUGAGACACGGCCCAAACUCCUACGGGAGGCAGCAGUGGGGAAUCUUGCACAAUGGAGGAAACUCUGAUGCAGCGAUGCCGCGUGAGUGAAGAAGGCCUUUGGGUUGUAAAGCUCUUUCGUCGGGGAAGAAAAUGACUGUACCCGAAUAAGAAGGUCCGGCUAA
RNAcentral lists this ribosomal RNA (401 nucleotides) under uncultured Pseudomonadota bacterium. RNAcentral's name for it is "bacterial SSU rRNA". It matches the Rfam family "Bacterial small subunit ribosomal RNA", at positions 54 to 500 of the family's 1533-position model. Lineage: Bacteria; Pseudomonadati; Pseudomonadota. The record is from RNAcentral.